GUUGGCGGGGUAACGGCCCACCAAGGCAACGAUCAGUAGGGGUUCUGAGAGGAAGGUCCCCCACAUUGGAACUGAGACACGGUCCAAACUCCUACGGGAGGCAGCAGUGAGGAAUAUUGGUCAAUGGGCGAGAGCCUGAACCAGCCAAGUAGCGUGCAGGAAGACGGCCCUAUGGGUUGUAAACUGCUUUUAUAAGGGAAUAAAGUUAGUCUCGUGAGACUUUUUGCAUGUACCUUAUGAAUAAGGACCGGCUAAUUCCGUGCCAGCAGCCGCGGUAAUACGGAAGGUCCGGGCGUUAUCCGGAUUUAUUGGGUUUAAAGGGAGCGUAGGCCGGAGAUUAAGCGUGUUGUGAAAUGUAGACGCUCAACGUCUGCACUGCAGCGCGAACUGGUUUCCUUGAGUACGCACAAAGUGGGCGGAAUUCGUGGUGUAGCGGUGAAAUGCUUAGAUAUCACGAAGAACUCCGAUUGCGAAGGCAGCUCACUGGAGCGCAACUGACGCUGAAGCUCGAAAGUGCGGGUAUCGAACAGGAUUAGAUACCCUGGUAGUCCGCACGGUAAACGAUGGAUGCCCGCUGUUGGUCUGAACAGGUCAGCGGCCAAGCGAAAGCAUUAAGCAUCCCACCUGGGGAGUACGCCGGCAACGGUGAAACUCAAAGGAAUUGACGGGGGCCCGCACAAGCGGAGGAACAUGUGGUUUAAUUCGAUGAUACGCGAGGAACCUUACCCGGGCUUGAAUUGCAGAGGAAGGAUUUGGAGACAAUGACGCCCUUCGGGGUCUCUGUGAAGGUGCUGCAUGGUUGUCGUCAGCUCGUGCCGUGAGGUGUCGGCUUAAGUGCCAUAACGAGCGCAACCCCUCUCCUUAGUUGCCAUCAGGUUAAGCUGGGCACUCUGGGGACACUGCCACCGUAAGGUGUGAGGAAGGUGGGGAUGACGUCAAAUCAGCACGGCCCUUACGUCCGGGGCUACACACGUGUUACAAUGGCAGGUACAGAGAGACGGUUGUACGUAAGUACGAUCAAAUCCUUAAAGCCUGUCUCAGUUCGGACUGGGGUCUGCAACCCGACCCCACGAAGCUGGAUUCGCUAGUAAUCGCGCAUCAGCCAUGGCGCGGUGAAUACGUUCCCGGGCCUUGUACACACCGCCCGUCAAGCCAUGAAAGCCGGGGGCGCCUAAAGUCCGUGACCGUAAGGAGCGGCCUAGGGCGAAACUGGUAAUUGGGGCUAAGUCGUAACAAGGUA
This 1240-nucleotide ribosomal RNA is filed under the name metagenome. RNAcentral's name for it is "bacterial SSU rRNA". It matches the Rfam family "Bacterial small subunit ribosomal RNA", at positions 248 to 1498 of the family's 1533-position model. The record is from RNAcentral.